CCUUGCCGCCGGCGACCGGCGCACGGGUGAGUAACGCGUAUGCGACCUGCCCGUUGCAGGGGGAUAAUCGGGAGAAAUCCCGUCUAAUACCGCGUAACGCCGCGGGGCUGCAUGGCCCUGCGGCCAAAGGGAGCGAUUCCGGCAACGGAUGGGCAUGCGUGACAUUAGCUAGUUGGCGGGGCAACGGCCCACCAAGGCGACGAUGUCUAGGGGUUCUGAGAGGAAGGUCCCCCACACUGGUACUGAGACACGGACCAGACUCCUACGGGAGGCAGCAGUGAGGAAUAUUGGUCAAUGGGCGCGAGCCUGAACCAGCCAAGUCGCGUGAGGGAUGACGGCCCUACGGGUUGUAAACCUCUUUUGUCGGGGAGCAAAUUCCGUUACGUGUAACGGAGUCGAGAGUACCCGAAGAAAAAGCAUCGGCUAACUCCGUGCCAGCAGCCGCGGUAAUACGGAGGAUGCGAGCGUUAUCCGGAUUUAUUGGGUUUAAAGGGUGCGUAGGCGGACUGUCAAGUCAGCGGUAAAAUACGGGGGCUCAACCUCCGCCCGCCGUUGAAACUGACGGUCUUGAGUGGGCGAGAAGUAUGCGGAAUGCGUGGUGUAGCGGUGAAAUGCAUAGAUAUCACGCAGAACUCCGAUUGCGAAGGCAGCAUACCGGCGCCCAACUGACGCUGAAGCACGAAAGCGUGGGUAUCGAACAGGAUUAGAUACCCUGGUAGUCCACGCAGUAAACGAUGAAUACUAGCUGUCCGGGGCGAAUGAGCCCUGGGUGGCACAGCGAAAGC
RNAcentral lists this ribosomal RNA (785 nucleotides) under uncultured bacterium. RNAcentral describes it as "bacterial SSU rRNA". It matches the Rfam family "Bacterial small subunit ribosomal RNA", at positions 80 to 858 of the family's 1533-position model. The record is from RNAcentral.